AUACGGUGAAUACGUUCCCGGACCUUGUACACACCCGCCCGUCAAGCCAUGGAAGCUGGGUGUACCUAAAGUCGGUAACCGUAAGGAGCCGCCUAGGGGUAAAACUAGUAACUGGGGCU
Molecule: ribosomal RNA, 119 nt
Filed under: uncultured bacterium
Lineage: Bacteria
Description: partial 16S ribosomal RNA
Rfam family: Bacterial small subunit ribosomal RNA
Source: RNAcentral